CAGCACCUCAAGUGGUCAGGAUGAUUAUUGGGCCUAAAGCAUCCGUAGCCGGCUCUGUAAGUUUUCGGUUAAAUCUGUACGCUCAACGUACAGGCUGCCGGGAAUACUGCAGCGCUAGGGAGUGGGAGAGGUAGACGGUACUCGGUAGGAAGGGGUAAAAUCCUUUGAUCUAUUGAUGACCACCUGUGGCGAAGGCGGUCUACCAGAACACGUCCGACGGUGAGGGAUGAAAGCUGGGGGAUCAAACAGGAUUAGAUACCCUGGUAGUCC
Molecule: ribosomal RNA, 270 nt
Filed under: uncultured archaeon
Lineage: Archaea
Description: partial 16S ribosomal RNA
Rfam family: Archaeal small subunit ribosomal RNA
Source: RNAcentral